CCUACGGGAGACAGCAGUGAGGAAUAUUGGUCAAUGGACGAGAGCCUGAACCAGCCAAGUCGCGUGAAGGAUGACUGCCCUAAGGGUUGUAAACUUCUUUUAUAUGGGAAUAAAAUGCUCCACGUGUGGCGUUUUGUGUGUACCAUAUGAAUAAGGAUCGGCUAACUCCGUGCCAGCAGCCGCGGUAAUACGGAGGAUCCGAGCGUUAUCCGGAUUUAUUGGGUUUAAAGGGUGCGUAGGUGGGUUGUUAAGUCAGUUGUGAAAGUUUGCGGCUCAACCGUAAAAUGGCAGUUGAAACUGGCAGUCUUGAGUACAGUAGAGGUAGGCGGAAUGCGUGGUGUAGCGGUGAAAUGCUUAGAUAUCACGAAGAACUCCGAUUGCGAAGGCAGCUUACUGGACUGCCACUGACACUGAGGCUCGAAAGUGUGGGUAUCAAACAGGAUUAGAUACCCGAGUAGUC
RNAcentral lists this ribosomal RNA (460 nucleotides) under uncultured bacterium. RNAcentral's name for it is "partial 16S ribosomal RNA". It matches the Rfam family "Bacterial small subunit ribosomal RNA", at positions 338 to 795 of the family's 1533-position model. The record is from RNAcentral.